RNAcentral lists this ribosomal RNA (483 nucleotides) under Starmerella henanensis. RNAcentral describes it as "partial 26S ribosomal RNA". It matches the Rfam family "Eukaryotic large subunit ribosomal RNA", at positions 62 to 648 of the family's 3401-position model. The record is from RNAcentral. Lineage: Eukaryota; Fungi; Ascomycota; Dipodascomycetes; Dipodascales; Trichomonascaceae.
AAACCAACAGGGAUUGCCUUAGUAGCGGCGAGUGAACCGGCAAAAGCUCAGAUUUGAAAGCCUUUCGGGGCAUUGUAUUCUGAAGCCGUUGUCCUGGGAAAACGGUGCCUAAGUUUCCUGGAAAGGAACACCAUAGAGGGUGACAGUCCCGUACGGCAUUGACCCCAUUGUAGGACCUCGGUAUGGAGUCGAGUUGUUUGGGAAUGCAGCUCAAACGGGUGGUAUGCUCCAUCUAAAGCUAAAUAUCUGCGAGAGACCGAUAGCGAACAAGUACUGUGAAGGAAAGAUGAAAAGAACUUUGAAAAGAGAGUGAAAAAGUACGUGAAAUUGUUGAAAUGGAAGGGUAGGCCGCUAACCACGCAGAGUCGUGUUUGGAGGGAGGAUAAAAACUAGAGAAUGUGGCUCCUCGGAGUGUUAUAGCUCUAGUCAAUACUCCCAUCCGGGCGCGAGGAUCUCAGACUCUGCUAAAUGGUGGUCUACCAC